RNAcentral lists this ribosomal RNA (587 nucleotides) under uncultured bacterium. RNAcentral's name for it is "bacterial SSU rRNA". It matches the Rfam family "Bacterial small subunit ribosomal RNA", at positions 338 to 916 of the family's 1533-position model. The record is from RNAcentral.
CCUACGGGAGGCAGCAGUGGGGAAUUUUGGACAAUGGGGGAAACCCUGAUCCAGCCAUGCCGCGUGCGGGAAGAAGGCCUUCGGGUUGUAAACCGCUUUUGUCCGGGAAGAAAUGACCUCCCCUAAUACGGGGGGUUCCUGACGGUACCGGAAGAAUAAGCACCAGCUAACUACGUGCCAGCAGCCGCGGUAAUACGUAGGGUGCGAGCGUUAAUCGGAAUUACUGGGCGUAAAGCGCGCGCAGGCGGUUCCUUAAGUCUGAUGUGAAAGCCCCCGGCUCAACCGGGGAGGGUCAUUGGAAACUGGGGAACUUGAGUGCAGAAGAGGAGAGCGGAAUUCCACGUGUAGCGGUGAAAUGCGUAGAGAUGUGGAGGAACACCAGUGGCGAAGGCGGCUCUCUGGUCUGUAACUGACGCUGAGGCGCGAAAGCGUGGGGAGCGAACAGGAUUAGAUACCCUGGUAGUCCACGCCGUAAACGAUGAGUGCUAAGUGUUAGAGGGUUUCCGCCCUUUAGUGCUGCAGCAAACGCAUUAAGCACUCCGCCUGGGGAGUACGGCCGCAAGGCUGAAACUCAAAGGAAUUGACGG